CCAACGGCCCUCUUUAGGGCCACCUUUCCGAUGUUAAGCCUUCAAG
This is a non-coding RNA of Haemonchus contortus (barber pole worm), 46 nucleotides long. The record is from Rfam. Lineage: Eukaryota; Metazoa; Nematoda; Chromadorea; Rhabditida; Trichostrongylidae.